UUUUUUUUUUUAAUUGGAGGCUACCUAAGUGCUUAAAAAAUAAGAGAUCGGUUAAUAAAAUUAUGAUACAAUUAAAGCAUGCCAAGCUAUGAAUCAACUUAAAAUACUAUAGAAUAAAUAUUAGAUAUGGAAUGAUCUUCCAACAAUACCGGCAAGUGAAGAAAGCAGGGUACGGAGCAUAUGAUUCACAGAUGGAUAACAAGAGAAUGGAUGGGAUUUUCCCACGUGCCUUUAAAUUUUUAGCUCAAAUCCCACACCCCAAAUUCUCAGGCGCUUCCAGGCACACCCUAACAGAUUCCUUCCUGCGGGGGAGGGAAAUUACUGCAGGAGAGACGUCUACGGAAGGAGUGUACCGUGGCCCUUGCCUCUGGUCCUAGUUGGCGGUCACUCCCCUCCCAAACCAAGAGGGGGGCAGCUCAAAGAAAAGUGUUUAGGGACACUGGAGGGAGCCUCAAAACAGGGAGAUUGACAUCUGAGGCUGGGUAUAUGUCCAGCUGCAGAAACUCCCCAUAACUUGCCACAGGGGAGCGCUUUUGAAUGUUGAGGGCAGACGGGAACCCAGAGAUAGGAGCCAAGUUUACGGCUGAAGAAUUUGGACGUCAGAGGCUGGCUAAGGCUUCUGUGGCAGCUGGGUGAGGAGAGGGAGCAGAAAAGGGAGCUACCUCAUUGCCUGUGUUUGUUGGAACAAGGAUGCUAGAGUCCUGGCGGACCCAAGGGGUUGGCGGGAAAGCCAUAUUACAAGGAUGCUGAUCAAGGAGGCUCCGGCAGGGUGGAGAAAACGGGGGGCCUGAAGGGCAGGCGGGACCCCAGAGCCCAGAGCUGGGGGGUCAGCACAGGGGUCAGCCAGAGAGCUCCUGUGGUGUCAGGGGCUGGGAACCCCCACAAAGUUGUCCUCCUACAUAGUGGGCGCUAGGCGGGUGAGAGCCACAAAUGACACCAAGCAGGGGGAAAUUUCUAUUUUUCCCUCCUCGUUACCCUGACCCUGGAGGAGAAAGGGGAUAUCCAAUAAGAAGAAGGACAACAGAUCACAUGCCCUCCCUACCGGGCGGGGGCAUGGGGAGGGUGGUCCCUGGAUCCAUGGCUCCACAGGGAGGAGGGAGAAGCUGGGAAGCGGGCAUGAGAGUAACAGACGGUGGGCAAGGGAGGGGGACUCUUCUUAUUACAACCUGAGUGACUGAACAGCUGUGGGGUCCCUGAGCUCUCAUCCUGGAGGGGAAGGGCUAGGGGUUGAAUUGUGUUCCCCAAAAAGUCAAGUCAGAGUUUUAGCUCCCUGAACCUCAGAACGUGACCUUACUUAGAAACAGGGUUUUUGCAGAGGAUGAAGCUCAGAUGAGGUCACCGGGGUGGACCCUCAUCCACUAUGACUGUGCCCUCGUGGAAAGGGGACAUCUGGACACGGAGACACAGCGACAGGGAGAAGGUCUCGGGAAGAGGAAGGCAGAGGAAAUCCGGGAGAAGCUCGGAGGGGGUGGAGGAGGGGAGGGGCGGGGCUUAGCGGUGAGGGCCCCGCCCCGCCUCCUCGGACGGGAGCCCUGGGGGGUAGUGCUGGCUCGGCGCGCGCGAGCUGGGUGGCUCGGAGCGCCUCUCUCACGCCCAUUUUCUUUCGUCUUUAACGGAGAAGGAAAAACGAGAUACUCUUAGGUUAAGAACGCAACUUCUGGGCCUUGACUCAGCUACGGGGGGUGGGGGGGCUACAUGUCGCUGGAAGUCACACGUGGCGGGGACGGUGGGGUGGGACCGGCUCCAGCUCUAGCGAGACGCACGCCUAGAAGGAGCCAGCGCUCGCUUACGAGUGGAGAGAAAUCGGUGGCGGGGGUCGCCCUCUGAGAGCCAUGGGGGGGCCCUUCCCUCCUCGUGUAUGCCUCUCACACCCUAAAAGCAGGAGACGCCCUCUCCUCCUGCAACACCUUCCCCUAAACCAACUCCUACACGAUCCCGAGGCGAUGACAGCACCCCAGUUCUGUCAGCAGGACCCGGACUGUUUUAGGGGCACUUUGGGGCGGGGGGGGGGGCAUAUUGUGAGGCUCCAACUUCAACCCUAAGCUACCGAGAGGUGCUGGAGAGGGAGCCCUCCUUCCAGGGGGAUUCCUGCUCCCCAGGGCACCUUCUGAAGGAGGCUGACUCUACUCGGGGAUGCCUGGGAUCCGAGGACCGGGGCCAAUUCCGAUCGCCAAAGCGCUGCUCUCCUGCGGGGAACUUACCGUCAGCUGGCGGCUCAGCUCCCGCCUCGAGACUCUCUGGGGGUAGAAACAAGCUUGAAUAUGCAGAUAGGACCGAGCCGCCUGAGCUACGGUCCGAUUCUAAGCCUUUGCAAAGACACUAAGAAAACCUGAAAAUAAAUAGACGACAUGGUGAGAUUCACAUGAAAACAGCAGCAGGGCACUUUACCUCUGAGGGAAAUGGGGGGGGGGGGUCAGGACCAGCCGGAACCCAAGAAGGAGCCCACGUCCAUCAAAGAUGGACGUGCAUGUAAAAGGAUGCUGAGAGAAGGCCUUAGCCCACAGCGGGCAGGGAGGCACGGGCCUCGGCCUAAAACCGUCAGAAACCCACCUCCUCUGACCCCCAAACUCUCCCCCAUAGCCCCAGAGAAGAGGCUGGCCUUCCGGCGCCUGGCUUUAGCCUUAGAAACCCCAGCAGAGGGCCCAGCCAUCCAUCCCACGGGGAUGUUUGAGCUCAGAAGCACGAUGCUUUCCAUCACUAAAUCCACAAUUUGUUAGACAGAGCUAGAAGGGGGAAGGGGGCCUGGAGACCACAGGGACACUCCCUGGGUAGCCAAGACCUAAAGGAGGCGAGUGGCUGCCAAUG
This 2805-nucleotide long non-coding RNA is filed under the name Sus scrofa (pig). Its description in RNAcentral is "lncRNA (ENSSSCG00030003820.1)". The record is from RNAcentral. Lineage: Eukaryota; Metazoa; Chordata; Mammalia; Artiodactyla; Suidae.